Non-coding RNA from Peromyscus maniculatus bairdii (prairie deer mouse), 4200 nucleotides. The record is from RefSeq and is a predicted model, not a curated record. Lineage: Eukaryota; Metazoa; Chordata; Mammalia; Rodentia; Cricetidae.
CCCCGCGUCGUCGCUGCGCCAGCCUCGCCUAGCGCACGGGGACAGGUGCCCCGGCCGGGGUCUGCCGGGAAGAUGGCGACCCCGGGCAUGAGCUGGCAGCAGCACUAUUACGGCGGCUCUGCGGCCGGGGCGGCCAAAUUCGCGCCCUCGCCGGCCGCUGCGCAGAUGGCCGGGCACAGCAUGGACUACAGCCAGGACAUGCACCUGAAAAUGAGCAAGAAGAUCGCCCAGCUCACCAAGGUCAUAUACGCUUUGAAUACUAAAAACGAUGAGCACGAGUCUGCAAUUCAGGCCCUCAAAGAUGCUCAUGAAGAAGAAAUCCAACAGAUCCUUGCAGAAACAAGAGAAAAAAUACUGCUCUACAAAAGCAAGGUAACAGAAGAGUUAGACCUCAGGAGAAAGAUUCAGGUUUUGGAAGCCUCUUUGGAAGACCAUGAGAAGAUGAAGCAGCAGGCGCUGACGGAGUUUGAAGCCUAUAAGCACAGAGUUGAGGACAUGCAACUUUGUGCAGAGGCCCAGCACGUCCAACGCAUAGUGACAAUGUCGCGGGAGGUCGAAGAGAUCAGAAGGAAGUUUGAAGAAAGGUUGAGGAGCUUCGGACAGCUCCAGGUACAGUUUGAAAAGGACAAACGGUUGGCCCUGGAAGAUUUGAGAACCGCCCACAGACGGGAAGUCCAAGAGCUGUUGAAGUCGCAGCAGGACCACAGUUUCUCCGUGAAUAAGGGGCAGGAGAAAGCAGAGGAGAUGCACAGGAUGGAGGUGGAGGCCUUGAACAGCACCCUGGAAGAGCUGAGACUUGAAAAGAAAAAGCUCAUUGAGGAAUAUGAAGGCAAGUUGAACAAAGCUCAGUCAUUUUAUGAGCGUGAGCUUGAUAAUCUGAAAAGGUCCCAGCUCUUCACAGCGGAAAGCCUGCAGGCUAGCCGGGACAAGGAGGCCGAUCUCCGCAAAGAGUUCCAGGGACAAGAAGCCAUUCUGCGAAAAACCAUAGGAAAACUGAAGACCGAGUUGCAGAUGGUGCAGGAUGAAGCCAGCAGUCUUCUUGACAAAUGCCAAAAGCUGCAGGCGGCACUGGCCACAGCAGAGAGCAAUGUACAGGUUCUUCAGAAACAGCUUGAUGAUGCCAAGGAGGGAGAAAUGGCCUUGUUAAGCAAGCACAAGGAAGUGGAGAGUGAGCUGGCAGCUGCCCGGGAACGCUUACAGCAGCAAGCUUCAGACCUUGUCCUCAAAGCUAGUCAUAUCGGAAUGCUUCGAGCAACUCAGAUGACCCAGGAAGUUGCAAUUAAAGAUUUAGAAUCGGAAAAAUCCCGAGCCAACGAGCGAUUAUGUCAGCUUGAAGAGGAAAGAGCUUUUCUGCAAAGUAGAACACAGAGUCUGGAUGAAGAACAGAAGCUGCAGGUGCUGGAGCUGGAGAAGAAAGUAAAUGAAGCAAAGAGAACUCAGCAAGAAUAUUAUGAAAUGGAGCUUAAAAACCUGCAGAACAGAUUGGAAGGCGAGGUGGCCCAAUUAAACGAGGCCCAUUCUAAGACUUUAGAAGAGUUAGCCUGGAAGCACCACAUGGCGAUGGAGGCUGUCCACAGCAACGCAAGCCGAGAUAAGAAAAAGCUACAAAUGGAAUUGGAGGAACAAUAUAAAAAGGAGAAACUGAGUCUGGAAGAGGAUAAAAAUCAGCUUCAACUAGAGCUAGAAAACCUAAAGCAAGUGCUGGAAGACAAGCUGGCUUCAGCCAAUCAGGAGAUUGGCCGCCUCCAAGAUCUGGUAAGGAAAAGUGAACAAGGUCUUGGAUCUGCCGAAGGACUCAUUGCUAGUCUUCAGGACUCCCAAGUGAGGCUUCAGAGUGAACUAGACCUGACAAAAGGCAAGCUGAAGGAGACCAAGGACGCCCUCUUAAAUGUUGAGGCUGAGCUAGAACAAGAGAGGCACCAGCAUGAAGAAACCCUUGCUUCCAUGAAGGAAGAAGAGAAGCUGAAGGCGGACAGGAUGGCCCAUGAUCUAGAGAUAAAGUGGACUGAAAAUCUUAGGCAAGAGUGUUCUAAACUUCGCCAAGAGUUAAGGCUUCAACACGAAGAGGAUAAAAAGUCCGCGAUGUCUCAACUGUUGCAGCUGAAAGAGCGAGAGAAAAACGCCGCCAGGGACUCAUGGCAGAAGAAGGUGGAAGACCUUUUAAACCAGCGGCACUCUCUGGGUGAGGCUUUGCAUAAAUCUAUCAACAAUAUCUCCCUGCUCAAGCAGAACCUGGAGCUGCAGCUUUGCCAGUCACAGACAUCUCUGCAGCAGCUGCAAGCUCAGUUCACACAGGAGCGCCAGCGACUCACGCAGGAGCUGGAGGAGCUGGAGGAGCAGCAUCAGCAGAGACACAAGUCCCUCAAAGAAGCGCAUGUCCUCGCCUUCCAGACCAUGGAAGAAGAGAAGGAAAAGGAACAAAGGGCUCUGGAGAGUCACUUACAGCAGAAACAUUCUGCAGAGCUGCAGUCCCUGAAAGAUGCCCACCGAGAGUCCAUGGAGGGCUUCCGCAUGGAGAUGGAGCAGGAGCUCCAGACGCUCCGGUUUGAACUAGAAGACGAAGGAAAAGCUAUGCUUGCUUCCUUGCGGUCCGAACUCAACCAUCAGCACGCAGCCUCAAUUGAUUUAUUACGGCACAGUCACCAUCAAGAACUGGCAGCCGCGAAAAUGGAACUAGAGCGAAGCGUCGACAUCAGCCGAAGGCAGAGUAAGGAGCACAUGUGUAGAAUAAGUGACCUCCAAGAGGAGCUACGGCACCGAGAGCACCACAUCUCAGACUUAGACAAGGAGGUCCAGCACCUCCAGGAAAACCUAAGUACCCUAACGAAGGAACUGGAAUUUAAGGGGAAGGAAAUCCUCAGAAUACGAAGUGAAUCCAACCAGCAGAUGAGGUUGCAUGAACAAGAUUUAAACAAGAGACUUGAGAAAGAGCUGGAUGUCAUGACAGCAGAUCACCUCAGAGAGAAAAAUAUCAUGCGGGCAGAUUUUAAUAAGACUAAUGAGCUACUCAAGGAAAUAAAUGCAGCUUUACAAGUGUCACUAGAAGAAAUGGAAGAAAAGUACCUAAUGAGAGAAUCGAAGCCAGAAGAUAUACAGAUGAUUGCAGAAUUAAAAUCCUUGCUUUCAGAAAGAGACCAGGUCAUAAAGAAACUAAUUGAGGAUAAUAAAUUUUAUCAACUGGAAUUAGUCAAUCGAGAAACUAACUUCAACAAAAUAUUUAACACAAGUCCUACUGUUGGUGUUAUUAACCCAUUGGCUAAGGCAAGAACAGCCUCUCUUUGACAGAUGGAUAAAGUUCAUGGACCUCUCUUUUAAUAUUGUGUUUAACUUCAUGCCUUCUAAUUUUAGCGUAAACCCACUUACCCUGUGGUAUUUGGAACUUCUCCUACCUCACCUGUUCCUUGUACCCCACACCCCAACCUAUUCUCUUCCCAGUCCACUCAGUGGUUAGGGAAUAGAGGUGAACCACACCUAAGCGUCCCUUGCCCUGUGUUUCUGUCCUGGGAGCAUGUCUGUCAUGGAGGAUUCCAUGUAGAUGAACACUUUCAAGGAUCCCCAGACCACACUUUGGGUAACACUGGUUAAUUGAAACAUGAUAAUUUGACACAAAGGUUCCAAAAUUUUUCAAUGCCAAAUUUAUAGUCUCCUACUAUUUUCCUGUUUUCUUGUUGGUUCGUCGGCAGCAAAUGAGUAUUCUCACGUGUGUUAUUUUUAAUGCAGCAAAAGAAGAAGAAUGAUAAGUCACCAACAAACAGGUAUCAGUAAGGUGCAUGUGCAUGUGCUCAAGGAACUUGACCGCUGGAGCUUCCAUUACCCAUUGUUGCGUGCCUUGUAAUUCCCCCAAAGACGUCCUCCUCAGAGUGAAGCUUCCCCGGUGGCUUCUCCAGAUCCCCAGCGCCAGGAGUGGUUUGCCCGGUACUUCACAUUUUGAAUGAAUUGUGCUGGCACAGCUCUGGUGGACUGUUACAGGAGCAUGACUAUAUCCGAGUCAUUCUGCGGACAGGCCUUCCUGUGUAAAGCACUGUGAAUGAGAAAGUGUUUGUCUGUCCAAUUUGAAAAUGCACUGUUUUUCCUGUGAUAUUUAUUGUAAUCAUUCUCUGAGGGUACUAAACUCUGUGUGUAAUUAUAACAAUUAUUUUUAUUUGAGAUGGAAGUCUUUAAUCUUUGUAAUUACUGCAUAAUAAAUUUUGUUAGAACAAA